GACGUAGGGUGCAAGCGUUGUCCGGAAUUAUUGGGCGUAAAGAGUUCGUAGGCGGUUACUUAAGUCUGGUGUUAAAGCCCGAUGCUCAACGUCGGCAUGGCAUUGGAAACUGGGUAGCUAGAGUGUGUCAGAGGUUACGGGAAUUCCUGGUGUAGCGGUGAAAUGCGUAGAUAUCAGGAGGAACACCGGUGGCGAAGGCGGGACUCUGGGCCGAUACUGACGCUGAGGAGCGAAAGCGUGGGGAGCGAACAGG
Molecule: ribosomal RNA, 253 nt
Filed under: uncultured bacterium
Lineage: Bacteria
Description: partial 16S ribosomal RNA
Rfam family: Bacterial small subunit ribosomal RNA
Source: RNAcentral